CAUUAAGAAGCUAUGUACCAGCACUAGCCUUUUAAGCUAGACAAAGAGGAAAUUCUCCUCCUUAAUGG
Molecule: transfer RNA, 68 nt
Filed under: Cacatua goffiniana (Tanimbar cockatoo)
Lineage: Eukaryota; Metazoa; Chordata; Aves; Psittaciformes; Cacatuidae
Description: tRNA-Lys
Source: RNAcentral